RNAcentral lists this ribosomal RNA (271 nucleotides) under uncultured prokaryote. RNAcentral's name for it is "partial 16S ribosomal RNA". It matches the Rfam family "Bacterial small subunit ribosomal RNA", at positions 524 to 794 of the family's 1533-position model. The record is from RNAcentral.
UACGUAGGUGGCAAGCGUUAUCCGGAUUUACUGGGUGUAAAGGGCGUGUAGGCGGUUUUGCAAGUCAGAUGUGAAAUCUCCGGGCUUAACCCGGAAACUGCAUCUGAAACUGCAGAACUUGAGUACUGGAGAGGAUAGUGGAAUUCCUAGUGUAGCGGUAAAAUGCGUAGAUAUUAGGAGGAACACCAGUGGCGAAGGCGGCUAUCUGGACAGUAACUGACGCUGAGGCGCGAAAGCGUGGGGAGCAAACAGGAUUAGAUACCCUGGUAGU